UGAGGCAGGAGAAUUGCUUGAACCCGGGAGGUGGAGGCUGCAGUGAGCCAAGAUCACGCCACUGCACUCCAGCCUGGGCGACAAAGCGAGACUCUGUCUUGGA
This 103-nucleotide microRNA precursor is filed under the name Nomascus leucogenys (northern white-cheeked gibbon). RNAcentral describes it as "miRNA (ENSNLEG00000033130.1)". The record is from RNAcentral. Lineage: Eukaryota; Metazoa; Chordata; Mammalia; Primates; Hylobatidae.